Molecule: transfer RNA, 101 nt
Filed under: Galerina marginata CBS 339.88
Lineage: Eukaryota; Fungi; Basidiomycota; Agaricomycetes; Agaricales; Galerinaceae
Rfam family: tRNA
About the family: Transfer RNA (tRNA) molecules are approximately 80 nucleotides in length. Their secondary structure includes four short double-helical elements and three loops (D, anti-codon, and T loops).
Source: Rfam by way of RNAcentral
GGGCGCUUAGCGCAGGGGUAGCGCGUCUGCUUUGCAUGUAUCCCUCUGCAAAGGCAAAACAUUUAUGCAGAAGGUCGUGGGUUCAAAUCCCACAGUGUCCA